AGAGUUUGAUCAUGGCUCAGGAUGAACGCUGGCGGCGUGCCUAACACAUGCAAGUCGAGCGAAGCGAUUCGAAUGAAGUUUUCGGAUGGAUUUUGGAUUGACUGAGCGGCGGACGGGUGAGUAAUGCGUGGGUAACCUGCCUCAUACAGGGGGAUAACAGUUAGAAAUGACUGCUAAUACCGCAUAAGCGCACAGUACCGCAUGGUACGGUGUGAAAAACCCCGGUGGUAUGAGAUGGACCCGCGUCUGAUUAGGUAGUUGGUGGGUUAACGGCCUACCAAGCCGACGAUCAGUAGCCGACCUGAGAGGGUGACCGG
This 317-nucleotide ribosomal RNA is filed under the name uncultured bacterium. RNAcentral's name for it is "bacterial SSU rRNA". It matches the Rfam family "Bacterial small subunit ribosomal RNA", at positions 8 to 307 of the family's 1533-position model. The record is from RNAcentral.